AACCCUAAUCAAUAGACUUACGGCGUAAAACGUGUUUAAGAUACAAAACUAAUAAAGUUGAACCCUAGCUACGCUGUAAAAAGCCUCAGCUACUAUAAGCUCCACAACGAAAGUGACUUUAAAUUAUCUGAAUACACGACAGCUAGGGUCCAAACUGGGAUUAGAUACCCCACUAUGCCUAGCCUUAAACCUAAAGAAUUAAUAUAACUAAAUUCUUCGCCAGAGUACUACUAGCCAGAGCCUAAAACUCAAGGGACUUGGCGGUGCUUCAUAUCCUUCUAGAGGAGCCUGUUCUAUAAUCGAUAAACCCCGAUAGACCUCACCAACUCUUGCUAAUU
Molecule: ribosomal RNA, 338 nt
Filed under: Trachops cirrhosus
Lineage: Eukaryota; Metazoa; Chordata; Mammalia; Chiroptera; Phyllostomidae
Description: partial 12S ribosomal RNA
Rfam family: Bacterial small subunit ribosomal RNA
Source: RNAcentral